Molecule: ribosomal RNA, 723 nt
Filed under: uncultured Glomeromycotina
Lineage: Eukaryota; Fungi; Glomeromycota
Description: SSU rRNA
Rfam family: Eukaryotic small subunit ribosomal RNA
Source: RNAcentral
GGGCACGACACCGGAGAGGGAGCCUGAGAAACGGCUACCACAUNCAAGGAUGGCAGCAGGCGCGCAAAUUACCCAAUCCCGACACGGGGAGGUAGUGACAAUAAAUAACAAUACGGGGUUCUUUAGGAUCUCGUAAUUGGAAUGAGUACAAUUUAAAUCUCUUAACGAGGAACAAUUGGAGGGCAAGUCUGGUGCCAGCAGCCGCGGUAAUUCCAGCUCCAAUAGCGUAUAUUAAAGUUGUUGCAGUUAAAAAGCUCGUAGUUGAAUUUCGGGGUUAGUAGGUUGGUCAUGCCUCUGGUAUGUACUGGUCUCACUGAUUCCUCCUUCCUUAUGAACCGUAAUGCCAUUAAUUUGGUGUUGCGGGGAAUUUGGACUGUUACUUUGAAAAAAUUGGAGUGUUUAAAGCAAGCUAACGCUUGAAUACAUUAGCAUGGAAUAAUGAAAUAGGACGUUCGAUCUUAUUUUGUUGGUUUCUAGGAUUGACGUAAUGAUUAAUAGGGAUAGUUGGGGGCAUUAGUAUUCAAUUGUCAGAGGUGAAAUUCUUGGAUUUAUUGAAGACUAACUACUGCGAAAGCAUUUGCCAAGGAUGUUUUCAUUAAUCAAGAACGAAAGUUAGGGGAUCGAAGACGAUCAGAUACCGUCGUAGUCUUAACCAUAAACUAUGCCGACUAGGGAUCGGAUGAUGUUAAUUUUUUAAUGACUCAUUCGGCGCCUUACGGGAAA